CGUCGAGCACCUGCAGCGCCUCGUUCUCCGAAAAGGCGUCCGGGUGGAUGUCGGAGAGCCCCGGGUUGUCCGUCAUCCUCAGCAUCACCAGGCUGGCCAGCGGCCCGAACGUCCGGUCCUCGAUCCGGCGCAAGGUGUUGAAGGAGAGGUCCAGGUGUUGAAGUGCUGAAUCAGACCCAGCAGGAUGGAGGAGGAGCAGCAGCAGGAGGAGGAAGACAGAUGUUGCUGCUGAUGAGUCGUAUUAAACAAAUUACCCCAAAAUGGCAACCAGCAGCCCCUUUCUGCCCCCCCGACACACACACUGACCACACUCUCUCCAUAUCUCUCCACCCUCAGAGAUCCACUAAUAGAAAAUCUGUUGGGUUUUCUGUCUAUUCACGGCCUCUGUCAGGUUGCUCUCCAUGUGGACUGAAGUCAUCCUCACCGCUGUUUAAGCCCUUAGAAACUGGCUCUCGGAGGACAUCUAGUGUCGGCAACUUGGAACUGCGUUUUAGGAUCGAUGCUUGACGGAUGUUUUCACUCUCAGCUUUGUCACUGUUGUGAAAUGGAAGUAAACGCGGAACCAGCGGACGUUUCACAUGCUCUUAAAAGUUUACCCGUAAGCAAAAAAAAAAAAAAAAAUGAUCAAGAAUAAUCAAAGUAUUGUCUAAAAAUAGGUUCAAAGUUAAUUGUACUUACUUCAAGUGGCCACCGUUUGAGGUCAAAUGGUGGGUUUUCUUGAGGCCUCCACUAGAAUCGAUUAUGCACCGACUGAUGGCCAAGCAGAAAGCAAUGUUGAACUUUAUGGAAAAGCGACAAAAAUACUGGUGUUGCUGAAACGCAGACAUAAAAGGUUCUGUUCGCUUCACAGUAAAAACCUUAAAGAAGUCACCUGCUCAGAAGGAACGACGCUUUUAACUUUUUAGCCUGCGUGUGUAGCAGGAGGAAGCUUGCCCUGCAGGAUUGAGGACACCUGGAACCCAAUUAACUCCUCACAAGGUGUGGAGCAUAAAAGGAGACUCCUACACCUGUUUUCUUUAUGCCUGGACAUGAAGAAAACAGUCCACCGACCUUCAGCUCGGUUGGUUUCCAGUGGUCACGUCUCUAACAUCAGUAAGUAGUGAUGGGCAAAUGAAGCCUCACAAAGCAAAAAGGUUCAUUACUCGACGCUCAAACCCACGCCUCCAGGUGAGACUGCAACCUGAACGCAGCACCUCGGACCGCUCGGCCAUCCUGACCUCACGCAAAUGUGUUAAUGUCUUUUCUCUGAGAAUUCGCAUAUGGGUGAAAACCACUUGGUUGAUUGAGAGCUCUGCAAAGUUACAUUUUCUCUGUUAUCUACUGGGAUGAUUUCAUUCCUUACAUGAUGAAAUACCACAGCAGAGUCAGCAGUCAGUGGGUCCUCCAUUUCCACUGCCUUACUUACUUACACCAAAAGUACAGGAGUCGAGUUAAAAUGACGACUCUGAGAGUGCAGUCGAGGCAAAUGAGAAAAGUCUUUCUGUCAGAAGUGGGAUUCGAACACACGCGUCCAGGGGAGACUGCGACCUUAACGCGGUGCCUUGGACCGCUCGGCCAUCCUGACUCCCAUCCCCUGGGGUGUGAGAUGCUUUUUUAUGCAGGAUGUUCGAAGGGCGAAGAACACUUGACAAUUCAAUGAGGACUAUGCCAAAUGUUUGCUCAUAGCGACAAGCAAAAGUUAGCAGUUUUUCCACUAAAUUUCGGGUUGUGUUUGCAUUGCUCCCAUGCAACUUCUUACCAUAAUGUGUGUUGAGUGAUGGUAUUCCGGAGAACCACUGAACAUCUCCCUCAAUUGUUGUUGGUAGACCUGACCAGAAACUCAUUUUCUUGGUCCACUUAAAUGCAAGCAAAUUGGGAUUCGAACCCACGCCUCCAGGGAGCCUGUGACCUGAACGCAUCGCCUUAGACCGCUCGGCCGUCCUGACUUCCUGAGUCGCGCACAAGCAGCUGGGUCUUAAUAAAACAGGCCGUCCUUGAAAUGUCAAAUUCAUGCAUUUAAAACUUUUAGUCAAAUGGACCAAAAUUGAGUGGAGAGUACUUCUGUGCCAAGAAAAAUAACAUCAAGCAAUAAAGUCCAAUUAUUUCUUCUUUUUUUUUUUUUGCUGUAGGAGAUGGGUGUUAUUCAUUGCAGACCCAAUUUUUUUUCACAUUUGCAUUUAGUUUUCAAAUUCUUUUAGGCCCAGAUGAAAUUUAUUUUCAGUUAUAAAAACAGGAUUUGGGUCGCAUUCUUUCAAAACACUUGCUGUAGUUAGUCGGGUUUAAAUAAAAGCUGAUUUAGGUGAAGUCGGCUUUUACGUGAAAACCGUCUGAACAGAUGUAGUUCUUACUGUAAAAGCCUGGUUGUAAAAAAGGCAAAUACUUUUGUGCCGUGCUUAAUAUUUCCCAGUGUAAGAAAAUUGCUGAUAUUACCAUGAUUAAAAAUAAAAAGUUUAAAAAAUA
Molecule: long non-coding RNA, 2439 nt
Organism: Xiphophorus hellerii (green swordtail)
Lineage: Eukaryota; Metazoa; Chordata; Actinopteri; Cyprinodontiformes; Poeciliidae
Exons: 2
Source: RefSeq, a predicted model, not a curated record